RNAcentral lists this ribosomal RNA (408 nucleotides) under uncultured bacterium. RNAcentral's name for it is "bacterial SSU rRNA". It matches the Rfam family "Bacterial small subunit ribosomal RNA", at positions 355 to 775 of the family's 1533-position model. The record is from RNAcentral.
UGGGGAAUAUUGCACAAUGGGCGAAAGCCUGAUGCAGCGACGCCGCGUGAGGGAUGACGGCCCUCGGGUUGUAAACCUCUUUCGGCAGGGACGAAGCGAAAGUGACGGUACCUGCAGAAGAAGUCCCGGCUAACUACGUGCCAGCAGCCGCGGUAAGACGUGGGGGACGAGCGUUGUCCGGAUUCAUUGGGCGUAAAGAGCGCGUAGGCGGCUACGCAAGUCGGUUGUGAAAACCCGGGGCUCAACCCCGGGCCUGCAUCCGAUACUGCGUGGCUAGAGGUAGGUAGGGGAGAUCGGAAUUCCUGGUGUAGCGGUGAAAUGCGCAGAUAUCAGGAGGAACACCGGUGGCGAAGGCGGAUCUCUGGGCCUUACCUGACGCUGAGGCGCGAAAGCUAGGGGAGCGAACAG